RNAcentral lists this unclassified non-coding RNA (329 nucleotides) under soil metagenome. RNAcentral describes it as "partial contains 5.8S ribosomal RNA, internal transcribed spacer 2, and large subunit ribosomal RNA". The stretch from base 1 to 120 matches the Rfam family "5.8S ribosomal RNA", at positions 35 to 154 of the family's 154-position model. The record is from RNAcentral.
GAUGAAGAACGUAGCGAAAUGCGAUAAGUAGUGUGAAUUGCAGAAUUCAGUGAAUCAUCGAAUCUUUGAACGCACAUUGCGCCACUUGGUAGCCCGAGGGGCAUGCCUGUUCGAGCGUCAUUUCACCACUCAAGCCUGGCUUGGUGUUGGGCGACGUCCCCUUUGGGGACGCGCCUCGAAACGCUCGGCGGCGUGGCACCGGCUUUAAGCGUAGCAGAAUCUUUCGCUUUGGAAGUCGGGGCCCCGUCUGCCGGAAGACCUACUCGCAAGGUUGACCUCGGAUCAGGCAGGGAUACCCGCUGAACUUAAGCAUAUCAAUAAGCGGAGGA